RNAcentral lists this ribosomal RNA (255 nucleotides) under uncultured bacterium. Its description in RNAcentral is "partial 16S ribosomal RNA". It matches the Rfam family "Bacterial small subunit ribosomal RNA", at positions 524 to 776 of the family's 1533-position model. The record is from RNAcentral.
UACGUAGGUGGCGAGCGUUGUCCGGAUUUAUUGGGCGUAAAGCGCGCGCAGGCGGUCGCGUAAGUCUGCUGUGAAAUCUCCCUGGCUCAACCGGGAGGGGGCGGCGGAGACUGCGGGACUGGAGGGACCUAGCGGCCGGUGGAAUUCCCGGUGUAGUGGUGAAAUGCGUAGAGAGUCGGGAGGAACACCUGUGGCGAAGGCGGCCGGCUGGGGGUGCCCUGACGCUGAGGCGCGAAAGCGUGGGGAGCGAACCGG